GAGGAUGUAGCUCAGUAGUAGAGCGCUUGCCUGGUAUGUAUGAGACCCUGGAUUUGAUCCUCUGCAUGAUCA
Molecule: transfer RNA, 72 nt
Filed under: Fukomys damarensis (Damara mole-rat)
Lineage: Eukaryota; Metazoa; Chordata; Mammalia; Rodentia; Bathyergidae
Rfam family: tRNA
About the family: Transfer RNA (tRNA) molecules are approximately 80 nucleotides in length. Their secondary structure includes four short double-helical elements and three loops (D, anti-codon, and T loops). Further hydrogen bonds mediate the characteristic L-shaped molecular structure. tRNAs have two regions of fundamental functional importance: the anti-codon, which is responsible for specific mRNA codon recognition, and the 3' end, to which the tRNAs corresponding amino acid is attached (by aminoacyl-tRNA synthetases). tRNAs cope with the degeneracy of the genetic code in two manners: having more than one tRNA (with a specific anti-codon) for a particular amino acid; and 'wobble' base-pairing, i.e. permitting non-standard base-pairing at the 3rd anti-codon position.
Source: Rfam by way of RNAcentral